This 497-nucleotide ribosomal RNA is filed under the name uncultured bacterium. RNAcentral describes it as "partial 16S ribosomal RNA". It matches the Rfam family "Bacterial small subunit ribosomal RNA", at positions 28 to 507 of the family's 1533-position model. The record is from RNAcentral.
GAUGAACGCUGGCGGCGUGCCUAAUACAUGCAAGUCGAGCGAACAGAUGAGGAGCUUGCUCCUCUGACGUUAGCGGCGGACGGGUGAGUAACACGUGGAUAACCUACCUAUAAGACUGGGAUAACUUCGGGAAACCGGAGCUAAUACCGGAUAAUAUAUUGAACCGCAUGGUUCAAUAGUGAAAGACGGUUUUGCUGUCACUUAUAGAUGGAUCCGCGCCGCAUUAGCUAGUUGGUAAGGUAACGGCUUACCAAGGCAACGAUGCGUAGCCGACCUGAGAGGGUGAUCGGCCACACUGGGACUGAGACACGGUCCAGACUCCUACGGGAGGCAGCAGUAGGGAAUCUUCCGCGAUGGGCGAAAGCUUGACGGAGCAACGCCGCGUGAGUGAUGAAGGUCUUCGGAUCGUAAAACUCUGUGAUUAGGGAAGAACAAAUGUGUAAGUAACUAUGCACGUCUUGACGGUACCUAAUCAGAAAGCCACGGCUAACUACGUG